GCUGUGACAAAUACACACGGAUGGUAAUGCACAACCAAUCCUUGUCUUGAAACUUUUGCAGUAGGCAGGGUCUGCUUCUGGAAAGAAUUCCCCAGAUGUUACAGUUCUGGUAUUCCUGCUCUGCUCUGGUGUGACUGCAGAACUACACUCUUUUUCCUUUGGGUAUGCUGCAGCCCAAACACAACAGUAUUUGCAAAUAGAUAAACAUGGAAAAAAAAAAGUUGCAAAAUGAAAGGCAUUAUUUCUAAAGAGCAUGUUUGUUUUUGCUGAUGACCUGGGUACAAAACGCUCGUAUGUGCUUGUGGUGGAAUGUUAACAUUUGUAAUCAGUAUGAGAGGACUGAUGGAAGCUCUGGAAAGAACAGGGUAAGCCUGAGGAUUAGAGGGAGAAAA
Oxyura jamaicensis (ruddy duck) is the source of this 392-nucleotide long non-coding RNA. RefSeq lists it as uncharacterized. The record is from RefSeq and is a predicted model, not a curated record. NCBI's taxonomy places the organism in Eukaryota, Metazoa, Chordata, Aves, Anseriformes, Anatidae. The transcript is spliced from 2 exons.